AACAUCGCGCACCUGCGGGAACCUGCGGAAGGAUCAUUACCGAGUGAGGGCCCUCCGGGUCCAACCUCCCACCCGUGUUUAACGAACCUUGUUGCUUCGGCGGGCCCGCCUCACGGCCGCCGGGGGGCACCCCGCCCCCGGGCCCGCGCCCGCCGAAGACACCUGUGAACGCUGUCUGAAGUUGCAGUCUGAGACACUAGCUCAAUCAGUUAAAACUUUCAGCAACGGAUCUCAGAUCGG
Molecule: unclassified non-coding RNA, 240 nt
Filed under: soil metagenome
Description: partial contains 5.8S ribosomal RNA, internal transcribed spacer 2, and large subunit ribosomal RNA
Source: RNAcentral